Peromyscus maniculatus bairdii (prairie deer mouse) is the source of this 126-nucleotide small nucleolar RNA. Ensembl annotates it as predicted gene, 25777. NCBI's taxonomy places the organism in Eukaryota, Metazoa, Chordata, Mammalia, Rodentia, Cricetidae. The record is from Ensembl.
GCAGAUUCACUCUGCACCUGGCUGCAGCUCCAGUCUGGUGCUUUUUCUGUCUGCCAAAGAAACAUUCCAGGGGGCUGUGGCUGCCUCUGCCUACCGGAGGCCAUGCAGCUGCCUGGGGACACUGAU